RNAcentral lists this long non-coding RNA (564 nucleotides) under Canis lupus familiaris (dog). RNAcentral's name for it is "lncRNA (ENSCAFG00030012678.1)". Lineage: Eukaryota; Metazoa; Chordata; Mammalia; Carnivora; Canidae. The record is from RNAcentral.
GCGAAUGAAAAGAGGAGAGGGAAAGAGACUGUUGGAGGAGGCUUGUUUAGUCAAGGAAGGCAGUGGCAAGCUAGGGCGCAGACUUGGGGGAGCAGCCUUGGGCUGGGUCUGGAGGAGUGGGUGGUUUUCGGGGUUGGCCGCCCAGCCUGGAGCCCUGCUGCUGAGGAGAAGGAGGAAGCCUGCCUGCCGGGUCGGGGCAGGCCUGGGCAGGGCAAACUGGGCCGGAUAAAGAAACAGGUGCUGGGAGCUUUUAUCUUUAUUUCAUAUCCCCAAGUCUGUGGUGGUGGAGCGACCAAUUUUCCCAUAAUCCUAGGAAGGGGAGGCACUUGGGACACUCGGCACACGCAUCCUCUUCUGUCUGCCCACAGGGCUCGCAUUUCAACAGUCGGUCUCCAGCAGAUUCACCAGGCACUGUACGCCACACAAGAGGAAAAAGUAGAGAAACUUCUCAAGGAGGGCAUUCAGUUUCACCCAGACAAUAUGAAGCCGCUAAUUGGUGAGUGCCAAAUAAGACUCCUUAGGAAGCAACAGAAGCUCUUUAAAUAAGCCACUGGAAGCCACUCU